Molecule: ribosomal RNA, 477 nt
Filed under: Candidatus Scalindua marina (nom. nud.)
Lineage: Bacteria; Pseudomonadati; Planctomycetota; Candidatus Brocadiia; Candidatus Brocadiales; Candidatus Scalinduaceae
Description: bacterial SSU rRNA
Rfam family: Bacterial small subunit ribosomal RNA
Source: RNAcentral
UUCGCAAUGCCCGAAAGGGUGACGAAGCGACGCCGCGUGGGUGAGGAAGGCCCUCGGGUUGUAAAGCCCUGUCAGGAGUUGAGAAAUGUAAGUGCGCUAAUAUCGCACUUAUUUGACGAAGGCUCCAAAGGAAGCCACGGCUAACUCUGUGCCAGCAGCCGCGGUAAUACAGAGGUGGCAAGCGUUGUUCGGAAUUAUUGGGCGUAAAGAGCACGUAGGUGGGUUUGUAAGUCAGAUGUGAAAGCCUUCUGUUCAACGGAAGAAUUGCAUCUGAAACUACAAGUCUUGAGUGUAGGAGGGGAGAAUGGAACUUCUGGUGGAGCGGUGAAAUGCGUAGAUAUCAGAAGGAACGCCGGCGGCGAAAGCGAUUCUCUGGCCUAUUACUGACACUCAGUGUGCGAAAGCUAGGGGAGCAAACGGGAUUAGAUACCCCGGUAGUCCUAGCUGUAAACGAUGGGCACUAAGUAGAGGGGUUUU